GCCCCGAGCGCAGGUUGCUGGGACAGGCUGCGGCGGCUCCGUGCGGCUCGGCCUCUGGGGCCAGCUGGUGGCGGUGGCCUAGAGAGGCUCAGCGGCUGGUGGGCAGGUGCACUGAUGCUGAAGUACUAUGAGCUUUCAGAACUUCUGGAGAGACUACAAAGUUCUGGUUGUUAUGGUACCUUUAGUCGGGCUCAUACAUUUGGGAUGGCACAGAAUCAAAAGCAGCCCUGUUUUCCAAAUGCCUAAUAAGGACGACAUUUCUGAGCCAGAUAGUCCAGUACUUGGACGUCCUCAGAAGAGUCACAUCCAAGGGAAAUAGCAGGCUUGGAAUCUUCAGAAAGAAGUAUCUUUGAAUCUGAGCUUCAUAUUGAAAGAAGAGAUGAAAAACACCAGCUGGAUUAGAAAGAACUGGCUUCUUGUAGCUGGGGUGUCUUUCAUAAGUGUCCAUCUUGGAACAUACUUUAUACAGAGGGCUGCAAAACAAUCUGUAAAAUCUCAAUCUAGAGGCAAACAAAAUGAGUAUUGAAGAAUGAAGGAAAAAUAAAUACCUGGAAUUAUUACUAUGUCAUUAAGUCAUUCCAUGCUGAUAAGCUUCAUAAACCUGGAGCUAAUUUUAUAGCCACAGUGCUGCAUAUUCAAGACUUUCAUUCCUUGAAGAAUAAUUUUUUUUCUAAAUGUCAAAACC
Non-coding RNA from Puma concolor (puma), 685 nucleotides. The record is from RefSeq and is a predicted model, not a curated record. NCBI's taxonomy places the organism in Eukaryota, Metazoa, Chordata, Mammalia, Carnivora, Felidae.